Molecule: ribosomal RNA, 403 nt
Filed under: bacterium
Lineage: Bacteria
Description: partial 16S ribosomal RNA
Rfam family: Bacterial small subunit ribosomal RNA
Source: RNAcentral
UGGGGAAUAUUGCACAAUGGGGGAAACCCUGAUGCAGCGACGCCGCGUGAACGAAGAAGGUAUUCGUAUCGUAAAGUUCUGUCCUAUGGGAAGAUAAUGACAGUACCAUAGAAGAAAGCUCCGGCUAAAUACGUGCCAGCAGCCGCGGUAAUACGUAUGGAGCGAGCGUUGUCCGGAAUUAUAGGGCGUAAAGGGUACGCAGGCGGUUUAAUAAGUCGAAUGUUAAAGAUCGGGGCUCAACCCCGUAAAGCAUUGGAAACUGAUAAACUUGAGUAGUGGAGAGGAAAGUGGAAUUCCUAGUGUAGUGGUGAAAUACGUAGAUAUUAGGAGGAAUACCAGUAGCGAAGGCGACUUUCUGGACACAAACUGACGCUGAGGUACGAAAGCGUGGGGAGCAAACAGG